UAGGUAGGUGAGGCGGGGCUUGAUGGCAUUCCGGCACACCUGCGGCGCAUCGGACGUCAUCAGUGAGCGCUUUUAUGGAGCUGAGUCACGGACGUCUGGUGUCAGAGUAUUGUCGCUGUCACAAGUGCCUGUUCCGCUGCCUGCUCGCCUGCCUAGUUUCUUUGUGUUGGCUACUGUGGAUCCCUGACGGAGAGCUACGUUACACCAGUCUGUGAUCACUGCUACAGCUGUAGUUUUGUGUUUCAAGUAGCUCCGGUGCGUCAUCUGCCCACCCACAUACCUUGGCUCUGUCUCAUCUCUUCGGCUUUGCUCUCCUUGCACAUUUUUAUUUGUCACUGUAUAUAGCCCCCUCCCUUGUAAAUAUUCCCCAUCAUUGUAGAUAAACUUGCAUCACAACUCUCUUGUGCCCGUGUGUGUUUCUGCCACUAAAUCCAUCCGUGCAGUUUUCCUAACAACACCUGAGGUGUGGAGUCCUGCAUGGACCCGAGGGGAGACACACCCUUGAAGACAACACAACAAAGGAGGCAAUAAGGAAGAAAGGAAGAAAAAGACUCAAGGAACUAAACUGCACUAGAGAUGUACCCAACAUAAGUGAAUCUGAAAAACCUUCCUACAGUUUAGUGUCAAUUUAAACAGCCGCUCAAGUUGUUUUCCUUAUUAUAAUUAUGGUUGUCUUUUGGAGAAAUGUACAGUAUGUGAAAGGAAGUUGCAGCCAUUAUUAUUUAAGAAUGUCUUUGACUGUUUUUGUGAGUAACAUCUUUUUACCCUCAUGAGUCAUGGCUUCUUUCUUUCUGCUCAUGCGUAACAUUUUUUGUCACAUGUACAGUAUGCUUUAACUAAUGACUGGGCUUUUCAAUAAAGAGUUGUGAACCAGUA
This is a long non-coding RNA of Astatotilapia calliptera (eastern happy), 876 nucleotides long. The record is from Ensembl. Lineage: Eukaryota; Metazoa; Chordata; Actinopteri; Cichliformes; Cichlidae.